GGGGACAGCUCUUUUAUAAUUUAGACACAAUAUUAUAACGUAUUUGGAUAUCUUUUUAUAUAUUUUAUUAUUCUGUGCUGAUGUGCUUCCCUUUAGUACUGUGUCAAACUCUCUCUACAUCUGUUCUGCUCACCCUAUACAAUUACACUUACCAAUUGCUCGUUGUUGAUUGUUCGUUGUUGAUUGUUCGUUGUUGAUUGUUCAUUGUAAAACGCAUCCGGGUUACUCAAUAAUUAUAAAGUAUUUUAUAUAUGUGAAACGUAUAUUCAUUAAUUAAAAUGUUAAACGGGGAAUGCUUCAAUAACUGUUUUUAUUUUACACCAGCACUUAUCCAGGAGAAGAAAAAAUCAAAACCAUGGUGAAACAAUAAGUAAUAACUUGCCAUUAGUUCUAUAAAGUCUCGGGCGCUGAUUGUGCAGAAAUUUGAAUUUGCGGGGGUUUCGUCAUGUUUUGACCAACUUUUCCUAGGAUUUCAAAAAAAAAUUUCCGGACUAAUAUAAGAAUAUUCAAAAAAUUUUCGACCAAUACGAGCAAUGCUUCCGAUUUUUUCACCGCAAAUGUAACUGAAGCUUUAAAAUUGUUAAAAGUGCGAACCAAUUCAUUAGAAUUUUACCUUCAAUUUUUAUUGAAGGUACAUACAUGAAUGAGACAUUCACCAUUGUAACAAUUGACCAUUUGCGUAAUAGACUAAAUUUUGAUCUAAACAAGUCUAGACAAAAAUUUCAUCACAGCUUGAAGGAGCAUC
Non-coding RNA from Paramuricea clavata, 745 nucleotides. Lineage: Eukaryota; Metazoa; Cnidaria; Anthozoa; Malacalcyonacea; Plexauridae. The record is from the annotation of a GenBank genome assembly.